ACGAGGAAGCCGGUGCGACGCCGGCACGGUCCCGCCACUGUGACGCCCGACCCGAGCCCGGGGCGGCCGAAGUCAGGAACUC
This 82-nucleotide non-coding RNA is filed under the name Kineosphaera limosa. The record is from RNAcentral. Lineage: Bacteria; Bacillati; Actinomycetota; Actinomycetes; Micrococcales; Dermatophilaceae.